This 506-nucleotide ribosomal RNA is filed under the name uncultured Glomeraceae. RNAcentral's name for it is "SSU rRNA". It matches the Rfam family "Eukaryotic small subunit ribosomal RNA", at positions 569 to 1078 of the family's 1831-position model. The record is from RNAcentral. Lineage: Eukaryota; Fungi; Glomeromycota; Glomeromycetes; Glomerales; Glomeraceae.
AGCAGCCGCGGUAAUUCCAGCUCCAAUAGCGUAUAUUAAAGUUGUUGCAGUUAAAAAGCUCGUAGUUGAAUUUCGGGAUUAGUGCGCUGGUCAUGCCUUUGGUAUGUACUGGUGUUACUGAUUUCUACCUUCUGAAGAACCGUUAUGUCAUUUAUUUGGUGUGGCGGGAAAUCAGGACUGUUACUUUGAAAAAAUUAGAGUGUUUAAAGCAGGCUCGCGCUUGAAUACAUUAGCAUGGAAUAAUGAAAUAGGACGUUUGACCCUAUUUUGUUGGUUCCUAGGAUCGACGUAAUGAUUAAUAGGGAUAGUUGGGGGCAUUAGUAUUCAAUUGUCAGAGGUGAAAUUCUUGGAUUUAUUGAAGACUAACUACUGCGAAAGCAUUUGCCAAGGAUGUUUUCAUUAAUCAAGAACGAGAGUUAGGGGAUCGAAGACGAUCAGAUACCGUCGUAGUCUUAACCAUAAACUAUGCCGACUAGGGAUCGGAUGAUGUUAUUUUUAAUGACUCA